AAAGUGCGAUAAGUCAUGUGAAUUGCAGAUUGUGAAUCAUCGAAUCUUUGAACGCAAAUGGCGCUUGGAGGCUCAAUCCUCCAAGCAUGUCUGGCUGAGUGUCGGUUAUAUCCUGAUCCAUCACCCCUUUUAGGGUGUGUGAGUGUGUGGGAACGCUGUGGCUCUUCUCUACGUGUAGAGAACGCGACAGACGGUCCUGAAGUGGAACCCAGUAGCGCUGCGCUUUUUGCACAGUGGCCUGCCAACGUGUGGUGUUUGUGUUACAACUAACUAACGCGUUGUGCGGCGUGUGUGCUUCACACGGUGCAGUGCGAAUGUCCAAAACAAACAAAACUAAACAUAUACAUCAUCGACAUCAGCUCAGGCAAGAGUACCCGCUGAACUUAA
Molecule: unclassified non-coding RNA, 387 nt
Filed under: uncultured fungus
Lineage: Eukaryota; Fungi
Description: sequence contains ITS1
Rfam family: 5.8S ribosomal RNA (bases 1-104)
Source: RNAcentral